This 462-nucleotide ribosomal RNA is filed under the name uncultured bacterium. RNAcentral's name for it is "bacterial SSU rRNA". It matches the Rfam family "Bacterial small subunit ribosomal RNA", at positions 337 to 793 of the family's 1533-position model. The record is from RNAcentral.
UCCUACGGGAGGCAGCAGUGGGGAAUAUUGCACAAUGGGGGAAACCCUGAUGCAGCAUGCCGCGUGUGUGAAGAAGGCCUUCGGGUUGUAAAGCACUUUCAGUAGGGAGGAAGGUAGUGUAGUUAACACCUGCAUUAUUUGACGUUACCUACAGAAGAAGCACCGGCUAACUCCGUGCCAGCAGCCGCGGUAAUACGGAGGGUGCGAGCGUUAAUCGGAAUUACUGGGCGUAAAGCGCAUGCAGGCGGCCUGUUAAGUCAGAUGUGAAAGCCCGGGGCUUAACCUCGGAAUUGCAUUUGAAACUGGCAGGCUAGAGUCUUGUAGAGGGGGUAGAAUUUCAGGUGUAGCGGUGAAAUGCGUAGAGAUCUGAAGGAAUACCAGUGGCGAAGGCGGCCCCCUGGACAAAGACUGACGCUCAGAUGCGAAAGCGUGGGGAGCAAACAGGAUUAGAUACCCUGGUAG